RNAcentral lists this long non-coding RNA (1726 nucleotides) under Brassica napus (rape). RNAcentral's name for it is "long non-coding RNA (BNAP_LNC014819)". Lineage: Eukaryota; Viridiplantae; Streptophyta; Magnoliopsida; Brassicales; Brassicaceae. The record is from RNAcentral.
AUAAAUAGGAUUGUAAUGUGUUGUGACAAAGUAACUUUGCUGCCGUGAAAGGCAGCCCCUCUUAUCCUUAAUGAAAUAUCAGUUUAAGUUCUUGUGUUCUUGGUGACAAAGCUAAAGUCUUUUCCUUUUUUUAAUUUUCUGCCUAAUAAAGCUACUUGAGCUAUCUCUAGUUUAUAUUCAAUAAAGUCCUUAAACACAUAAAUCAUCUUGUUCUUGAAAUGCUAUCAAUUCAGAUUAAACCACCGUUCUAACCAUUAGUGGAAAUCACCAAACUAUAUCCUAUCAAAGUUGAUUUUACCAUUUGCCAUUUCUGAUGGAUUACACCGCUUUAACAACAUCGACAUACGGGGAGAUGCUUGUUUCGCACAAUAACUCAGUUACCUUUCUAUUGCUUUGGCCUAUGAGUCAACUAAUGCAUACACAUUACAAGUCUGAAGUCUUCUAAGCCUAAUACAAUAAGAGAAGAAGAUAAGUAUGCGAGUAUAUUCUGUAUUUAUCCUAAUAAAGAAACAAAUCAUCUACCGUAUAAGACAUCUCUAAGUGUCAACGGACUUGAAAUGAUAUACCAACUAACAGACUUUCAAAUGUCACUUCUUGGCUCUUGCGUAUAUUUCUCAAAACCGGAAUAUUUAGUUAGUAUUGGAAAUGUAAAUGAUGAUUUUAUUUUAGUUUAUUUUCAGUUACACAUGUCAUACCGUAACAUCACAAUGGGAUAAUGUUUAUUCACGUGGUGUCUAGUGUCUAAGUGGGUGAAGGACGCUAAUCAUGAGUUUGUACUAGCAAACCCGUAAUUCCCAUGGCCCUAAUCAAAAUAUGUCGGACGCGACAAUAUAUAUUGUGUCCGGGUUCUUAGUUAAGCCAUUUGCUUUGGGAACUAGCUCCUAAAUUCAGUUCAGUCCUGAAAGAAGAGCAUUCAACCAAUAAAUUUUAAAAUAAAUAUAUGUAGAUAAUUAGAAAAGCAAUCACUAAUUUAAAUAUCAAAUGGCAUUAGCGGAAAAACAGUUUGUCGUUUGUUAAUCUAAAGUGACUAGAUGAAAAAAAAACAAUCGUUGUUGUAGAUGGGUUUGAACUGAAAUGGUGGAAAAGUGGUUGUGUAGAGUUUUAUGAGUUCACCACCAUAAUAAUAAGAAAAUAAUCCCAAAUGCAAACUCCAAAUAACUUCAAAUAUAAAAACAAGUCCUAACAAAUUAAUCAGAUCACAAUAGUAAAAGAAAAAUGCAGAAGCCAGCGAACCUAUACAGUAAGAGAAUUGAAUUAUUUUGUGAAGCAUCAACAUAAAUGGUUAUAAUUCUCAGACCCACACUUUUACAUGUAAAAAUUUUUACCAAAAAAAAAAAAAAAAUUCUCAGACCCACCUAAACCUACACAUUAUUACUACAAUUUUUAUCUUUCGUUUUUCUUUUGUUUUUCAUAUUUUUCAGUCUCUAAUCAAUUUUUUUUCAUCUCCUCUUAUUUCUUCUUGUGGGUCCUCUUCUCCCUGACCAGUGACCUCUGUGCAUCUCCACGUUUUACUAAUAGCUUUGCUGUAUCUACUGUUACCACUCUUAUUAUUACUCAAACUUAAAUGUCACUUAAAUGCAAACUAUAUAUUUAGGUGAAAACCAAAUCAAAUAGCAAUAAAAAACCACUAAUUAGCCCAAAACUUGGAAACCACUAAGCCCACCAAUGAUUUAUGUCCUGUCCACAAGUCGAGAAGAGUCAAGUGACCUUUGACUUCUCUUUUAAC